This 972-nucleotide unclassified non-coding RNA is filed under the name Hevea brasiliensis (rubber tree). The record is from RNAcentral. Lineage: Eukaryota; Viridiplantae; Streptophyta; Magnoliopsida; Malpighiales; Euphorbiaceae.
UUUUUUUUUUUUUUUUUUGAUAUAAUUGGCUUCAAGUAGGACUCAAACUUGAAAUCUUACAGCUCUAGAAACGACUCUAAUAUUGCUAAGCUAAAGCUCAUUGGUUCCAUGAAGAGAGUUUAAUUAGGGAACCAAUCAAUGGAAAAUGUACUUUCAUAUCCAAGACACUCUUUAACCACCAAACAUUCCCAUAUAAACAACAAUAAGGAAAACAGAAAAUAAUUCAGCCCUCAUUUUCUACACCUGUAUCUUCUGUCAUUAAUGGAACCAGAAGACCGGAAAAUGACACAAUUCAGUUGUACUUCAGAUUAUCAGUCUUUAUACUAGGUCCUUUUGCUCACAAAUCAAUUGGAACAUACAAAAGAAAUAAAAAGGACAAAUGAGAGAUGGCUGUAGUUUCUUACCACAUCAAAAUGCAAACGGUAAAAUGCUAACGGUAUUUUAGUUUCCUAAGUACUGAGACAAGUCCACAAUUUGGCAAACUAAUAUAUACCCAGAAACAAAACUGCAACCUUUUUCUUCACCUCUUGUAAUUUUCUCAUCAACCAUACACAUGCAAUUAACAAUAAACAAGAGAGUGGUUGAUAUUUAAGCACAGGAAGUCAGGAAAGAUAGUGAAAAUUUUAUCAUUCACAAUUUUAUGUAACCUUAUGGAUGCCUAGAAUCUCAAUUUAUGAGACAUGACCAUUGGAUGCAAUACAACCAGCAAGUCUCGAUAGACAGAUGAUCAAUCUUCCUAUAUAGAAUGAUCAGAUCCAUAAACACAUCUAAAACUUCAAAAACCUUUCAAUUUUUCCUGCAUUUUCUCCUUGACAAAACACAAAAUAAAUUUAUUUCAGAUUGUUGGAGAAAAAGGCCUUGGCGUAGAAAAACAUUAGCAAAAAUUAACACUAAAAUGAAAAGGAAAUUGAGAGAGCAAAAGAAAGAGUUUAAUUUUUAGGACCAUACCAGCAUUUGACGGAAUUCCUCUUC